Molecule: transfer RNA, 74 nt
Filed under: Mesorhizobium sp. M7D.F.Ca.US.005.01.1.1
Lineage: Bacteria; Pseudomonadati; Pseudomonadota; Alphaproteobacteria; Hyphomicrobiales; Phyllobacteriaceae
Also listed under: 2 other names
Description: tRNA-OTHER
Rfam family: tRNA
About the family: Transfer RNA (tRNA) molecules are approximately 80 nucleotides in length. Their secondary structure includes four short double-helical elements and three loops (D, anti-codon, and T loops). Further hydrogen bonds mediate the characteristic L-shaped molecular structure. tRNAs have two regions of fundamental functional importance: the anti-codon, which is responsible for specific mRNA codon recognition, and the 3' end, to which the tRNAs corresponding amino acid is attached (by aminoacyl-tRNA synthetases). tRNAs cope with the degeneracy of the genetic code in two manners: having more than one tRNA (with a specific anti-codon) for a particular amino acid; and 'wobble' base-pairing, i.e. permitting non-standard base-pairing at the 3rd anti-codon position.
Source: RNAcentral
GCGGAUGUAGCUCAGUGGGAGAGCGCCGGAUUUGGAUCCGGAGGUCGGGGGUUCAAUUCCCUUCAUCUGCACCA